RNAcentral lists this ribosomal RNA (1357 nucleotides) under metagenome. Its description in RNAcentral is "bacterial LSU rRNA". It matches the Rfam family "Bacterial large subunit ribosomal RNA", at positions 1426 to 2910 of the family's 2925-position model. The record is from RNAcentral.
UCAGUGAAUAUUCUGCAGCCAGUGGAAUGGUGACGAAUCUCGUAUGUUGUCCGACCUUAUUGGAUUGGUUGGGCCUCGAAGAGGUUCCAGGAAAUAGCCUCCACAUUAGACCGUACCCGAAACCGACACAGGUGGACUGGUAGAGUAUACCAAGGCGCUUGAGAGAACUAUGUUGAAGGAACUCGCAUUUUACCUCCGUAACUUCGGGAUAAGGGGGCCCAUUGCGCGCGCAAGCGCGCCGUGGGGGCACAGACCAGGGGGUGGCAACUGUUUAACAAAAACACAGGGCUCUGCGAAAUCGCAAGAUGACGUAUAGGGUCUGACGCCUGCCCGGUGCCGGAAGGUUAGGAGGAGGAGUGCAAGCUCUGAAUUGAAGCCCCGGUAAACGGCGGCCGUAACGAUAACGGUCCUAAGGUAGCGAAAUUCCUUGUCGGGUAAGUUCCGACCUGCACGAGGGCGUAAUGACUUCCCCGCUGUCUCCAACAUAGACUCAGUGAAAUUGAAUUCCCCGUGAAGAUGCGGGGUUCCUGCGGUCAGACGGAAAGACCCCGUGCACCUUUACUGUAGCUUUGCGCUGGUAUUCGUGACUGUUUGUGUAGAAUAGGUGGUAGACUUUGAAGCUCCGGCGCUAGCCGGGGUGGAGUCGAAAUGUGAAAUACCACCCUAAUGGUUAUGGAUAUCUAACCGCGUCCCCUUAUCGGGGACCGGGACAGCGCAUGGUGGGCAGUUUGACUGGGGCGGUCGCCUCCCAAAGAGUAACGGAGGCGUGCGAUGGUAGGCUCAGAACGGUCGGAAAUCGUUCGUCUAGUAUAAUGGCAUAAGCCUGCCUGACUGCGAGACUAACAAGUCGAGCAGAGACGAAAGUCGGUCAUAGUGAUCCGGUGGUCCCGCGUGGAUGGGCCAUCGCUCAGCGGAUAAAAGGUACGCCGGGGAUAACAGGCUGAUGACGCCCAAGAGUCCAUAUCGACGGCGUCGUUUGGCACCUCGAUGUCGGCUCAUCACAUCCUGGGGCUGGAGAAGGUCCCAAGGGUUCGGCUGUUCGCCGAUUAAAGUGGUGCGUGAGCUGGGUUCAGAACGUCGUGAGACAGUUCGGUCCCUAUCUGCCGUGGGUGUUGGAAUACUGAGAGGAUUUGUCCCUAGUACGAGAGGACCGGGAUGAACGUACCUCUGGUGGAGCAGUUGUCGCGCCAGCGGCAGUGCUGCAUAGCUAUGUACGGACGGGAUAACCGCUGAAAGCAUCUAAGCGGGAAACCCACCUCAAAACGAGUAUUCCCUUGAGAACCGUGGUAGACGACCACGUUGAUAGGCCGGGUGUGUAAGUGCGGCAACGCAUGUAGCUUACCGGUACUAAUCGUUC